GGUCCGCUAGCUCAAUUGGCAGAGCAACUGACUCUUAAUCAGUAGGUUCUCGGUUCGAGUCCGAGGCGGAUCACCA
This 76-nucleotide transfer RNA is filed under the name Chloroflexota bacterium. Its description in RNAcentral is "Chloroflexi bacterium tRNA-Lys". It matches the Rfam family "tRNA". From Rfam's summary of the family: Transfer RNA (tRNA) molecules are approximately 80 nucleotides in length. Their secondary structure includes four short double-helical elements and three loops (D, anti-codon, and T loops). Further hydrogen bonds mediate the characteristic L-shaped molecular structure. tRNAs have two regions of fundamental functional importance: the anti-codon, which is responsible for specific mRNA codon recognition, and the 3' end, to which the tRNAs corresponding amino acid is attached (by aminoacyl-tRNA synthetases). tRNAs cope with the degeneracy of the genetic code in two manners: having more than one tRNA (with a specific anti-codon) for a particular amino acid; and 'wobble' base-pairing, i.e. permitting non-standard base-pairing at the 3rd anti-codon position. The record is from RNAcentral. RNAcentral also lists the same sequence under 1 other name. Lineage: Bacteria; Bacillati; Chloroflexota.